CACAGAAAAGCAUAAUCAAUUAGAAUCACGAAGGAACAAAAUACUAUAGAAAUGUCAUCUGUAUAAAUUUACACUAACAUCACAUUAUAUUGGGAGAUGCUUUCUUUUCUCUGUUCAGAGUAGGUGGAACAAACAUCUAGUGUCCAGUUAGUUGUGAAUGAUCAUCUCUUUGUUAAAGCAAGGAUUGACAAAAGUGGUUGAUGAAAUGCUUACAAUCAGCUCCAAGAAUGGUAGUGUCAUGGUUUAUUGACAGUACAAUAUCUGUGUAUAGAGAUGAGUUCUAGCGUAGAAACGCCUAAAUGGAGUGUGUUUGAAGAUGUGAAGAAUAUAUCUGCAGCUCCAGAGGCACUUAUGGCUGAUAUCAACGCUGCUAUUAGCGCCCUUGAGUAUGCUCGUGCUGCUGCUGCUACCUUCUUACACUCGUCUCCUUCCUCUUCGAAAGCAAAAACACUCAUCAAAAGUUGAUACAUACGAUGCUGGAAAGGCUGAUGAAGUCGAACCUAUAGCUGCAGCCAAACUAGAUAAGUCUCUUUGUUACACUUACGUGUGAAUAUCUCAUCUCGUUAGACCCGGAUUGUUGUUGUUGUUCAUUCCACCGUAUAGUGCAAGUGUUGUCAUAUAAUUGUAUUCCAUAACCAUUCUUCAAGUUUUCACACUGAAGGGAGUACGGUUUCGUUCACUACAUUCGAGUUUCGCAGCACCUGAAAGGUUUGGCUUUGAUAGACUGGAAACUUGAUCAAGAGAAUGUCUUGGAUGCAGUGGCCGAUCCAGAAAUCAAAAAUGGAGGGGGCGGAAUUACCAUUAAACCUUUAUCCUUCGGUUUCACAAAAACAUACUCAAAAUACACCAAAAAUAAUGUGUUAUUAUUUGAUAUACUACUAUAUUUUUUUUAUUUAA
This is a long non-coding RNA of Salvia hispanica, 897 nucleotides long. RefSeq lists it as uncharacterized. The record is from RefSeq and is a predicted model, not a curated record. Lineage: Eukaryota; Viridiplantae; Streptophyta; Magnoliopsida; Lamiales; Lamiaceae.